UGGUUGGCGGGAGGCUCUGACACGCGGUCCGAACCCGGCCGCCGGGACCGCGCCGAGCCACUGGCGAGACCGACCCGCUCGCAU
RNAcentral lists this non-coding RNA (84 nucleotides) under unclassified sequences. Its description in RNAcentral is "c-di-GMP sequence". It matches the Rfam family "c-di-GMP-II-GAG riboswitch aptamer". The record is from Rfam by way of RNAcentral.